UGUCUGUGUGUGUUUGUGUGUGUGUCAGUGCGUAUGUACAUGCGUAUACGGAUAAAUAUAGUUGAAAAAAAUCCAAACGGAGAUCCUUAGUGACAUAAUUCACGAUAAUGCGUCCUUUAUUUUUGCUGUUGAUAAUGUGUUGUCUGCUGGAUAUCUGUCUUGCAAGCCCGUUCCAUUAUCACAUUGCAAGGAGAAGAUAUAAGAUCCCUUAUUAUGUGUAUUAUUAUAAGCCAAGUUACCGGUUCGUGCCGCGUCGUCGUGUAUCAGAUCGCCGGAGGCCAUAUGUUUUCGAUGACUUUCUCGGAGGCAGAUGAUGAGCCGGGACGAAGGGGCGGAGCUUCACUUAGCUGCGGUUGUUGUUUUAG
RNAcentral lists this long non-coding RNA (365 nucleotides) under Penaeus japonicus. Its description in RNAcentral is "uncharacterized LOC122266998, transcript variant X2". The record is from RNAcentral. Lineage: Eukaryota; Metazoa; Arthropoda; Malacostraca; Decapoda; Penaeidae.